UAAAUAUUACAUUCCUGUCAAGUGAUUUUAAUCUAUACACGUGUUUAUAUUUUCCGGUAUAUUUUGGUAAUGUAUGAAAAUGAUCAAUGUAAUAUUUCACAGAAACGUUGGAUCAUGAUGGUGGCUCUAAGAAAAAUUUAUGUAAAUUUAAAUAAAAAAGUCGAUACAAAUUUCAUUUUAUUAUUCCUUUUAAAAAUGGAUGUGUUCUUUCUUCUUUUGAUGAAAACCGCCGACGCCUUACAUGGUGACAAUUUAUGUCAGGAUCCUAGCAAUAAUGUGACUAAAUGCUGUAAAGAUUACGAGAAAAGGGGUGACAAGUGUGUCGAGUGUAGAUUAGGGUAUCAUGGAACUAAUUGCACCACUAAGUGUAAAGAUGGUUACUUUGGGCGACUCUGUGCUACAAAAUGUAACUGUCAUCAUGAUUUUGACUGUCAUUAUGUAUGUGGCUGUGUGAGUUCAUCAUUCAUCAACGAUACAACAGCUGAGACGUGUGAUCAUGGAAUGACGGAUAGCACAGCAAGUAUGACGCGUUCAUACACAACUCAACCUAUUGUAAAUUGUUCGAAAAACGU
This is a long non-coding RNA of Magallana angulata, 572 nucleotides long. RefSeq lists it as uncharacterized. The transcript is spliced from 3 exons. Lineage: Eukaryota; Metazoa; Mollusca; Bivalvia; Ostreida; Ostreidae. The record is from RefSeq and is a predicted model, not a curated record.